GGCAGACUCAUGCUAGAGGUCACAUUCAGACUGCAUGUUCUUCACCCUUUCCGCCUUGGGGGAAAGUCUGAGACAAGAGCCAAAAGUUAGCCCUGCAGUAUAUCACUUAGCCUGGGUGAGUGAGUGCACAGAAAUAAUUGCCAGUGUGGGAUGUUGUCACAAGAGAUAUCAGUCAAUCUCCGGCCAACACUGAUGGAUGUUAUCUCAUCGGCUUAGAACCACUCAAGGCCGGUCUGAUGAGGGCAUUGUAUGACUUGGAAAAGUGCUCUAGCUGCC
This 276-nucleotide RNase P RNA is filed under the name Myripristis murdjan (pinecone soldierfish). RNAcentral's name for it is "Nuclear RNase P (ENSMMDG00005014016.1)". It matches the Rfam family "Nuclear RNase P". From Rfam's summary of the family: Ribonuclease P (RNase P) is a ubiquitous endoribonuclease, found in archaea, bacteria and eukarya as well as chloroplasts and mitochondria. Its best characterised activity is the generation of mature 5'-ends of tRNAs by cleaving the 5'-leader elements of precursor-tRNAs. The record is from Rfam by way of RNAcentral. Lineage: Eukaryota; Metazoa; Chordata; Actinopteri; Holocentriformes; Holocentridae.